This 362-nucleotide long non-coding RNA is filed under the name Mytilus galloprovincialis (Mediterranean mussel). Lineage: Eukaryota; Metazoa; Mollusca; Bivalvia; Mytilida; Mytilidae. The record is from RNAcentral.
UAAACAUGCUUUGUGAGAUCUCAAUCCUCCCGCUAUACAACUAUAUCUAGCUCAUGUAGAAUAAACAAACAGACAACAAUAUGCACAGAAAAACUCAGUUUAAAAGAAAUCCGAGUCCGAUGACAAAAUAGUAAACAAAAGAAACUACACAAAAUGAAUAUGAUUCAUAAAUUAACAAAGAACUACUAGCAGUAACUGACAUGCCAGCUCCAGACCCCAAUUAAACAUAUCGAAAUAAUACAUAGAUAUAAGAAGAUGUGGUAUGAGUGCCAAUGAGACAACUCUCCAUCCAAGUCACAGUGUGUAGAAGGAAACUAUUAUAGGUUAAAGUACCCUCUUCAACACGAAUCCUUGGCUCACAC